UGGGGAAUAUUGGACAAUGGGCGCAAGCCUGAUCCAGCCAUACCGCGUGGGUGAAGAAGGCCUUCGGGUUGUAAAGCCCUUUUGUUGGGAAAGAAAUCCAGCCGGCUAAUACCUGGUUGGGAUGACGGUACCCAAAGAAUAAGCACCGGCUAACUUCGUGCCAGCAGCCGCGGUAAUACGAAGGGUGCAAGCGUUACUCGGAAUUACUGGGCGUAAAGCGUGCGUAGGUGGUUAUUUAAGUCCGUUGUGAAAGCCCUGGGCUCAACCUGGGAACUGCAGUGGAUACUGGAUGACUAGAAUGUGGUAGAGGGUAGCGGAAUUCCUGGUGUAGCAGUGAAAUGCGUAGAGAUCAGGAGGAACAUCCAUGGCGAAGGCAGCUACCUGGACCAACAUUGACACUGAGGCACGAAAGCGUGGGGAGCAAACAGG
RNAcentral lists this ribosomal RNA (429 nucleotides) under uncultured Pseudomonas sp. RNAcentral's name for it is "bacterial SSU rRNA". It matches the Rfam family "Bacterial small subunit ribosomal RNA", at positions 355 to 776 of the family's 1533-position model. The record is from RNAcentral. Lineage: Bacteria; Pseudomonadati; Pseudomonadota; Gammaproteobacteria; Pseudomonadales; Pseudomonadaceae.